CUGAGGCAUAUAGUUUUUAAGGUACUUGCUGAGGCAUAUAGUUUUUAAGGUACUUGCUGAGGCAUAUAGUUUUUAAGGUACUUGCUGAGGCAUAUAGUUUUUAAGGUACUUGCUGAGGCAUAUAGUUUUUAAGGUACUUGCUGAGGCAUAUAGUUUUUAAGGUACUUGCUGAGGCAUAUAGUUUUUAAGGUACUUGCUGAGGCAUAUAGUUUUUAAGGUACUUGCUGAGGCAUAUAGUUUUUAAGGUACUUGCUGAGGCAUAUAGUUUUUAAGGUACUUGCUGAGGCAUAUAGUUUUUAAGGUACUUGCUGAGGCAUAUAGUUUUUAAGGUACUUGCUGAGGC
Molecule: long non-coding RNA, 343 nt
Organism: Oncorhynchus keta (chum salmon)
Lineage: Eukaryota; Metazoa; Chordata; Actinopteri; Salmoniformes; Salmonidae
Exons: 3
Source: RefSeq, a predicted model, not a curated record